GACGAACGCUGGCGGCGUGCUUAACACAUGCAAGUCGAACGGAAAGGCCCUGCUUUUGUGGGGUGCUCGAGUGGCGAACGGGUGAGUAACACGUGAGUAACCUGCCCUUGACUUUGGGAUAACUUCAGGAAACUGGGGCUAAUACCGGAUAGGAGCUCCUGCUGCAUGGUGGGGGUUGGAAAGUUUCGGCGGUUGGGGAUGGACUCGCGGCUUAUCAGCUUGUUGGUGGGGUAGUGGCUUACCAAGGCUUUGACGGGUAGCCGGCCUGAGUGGGUGACCGGCCACAUUGGGACUGAGAUACGGCCCAGACUCCUACGGGGGGCAGCAGUGGGGAAUAUUGCACAAUGGGCGGAAGCCUGAUGCAGCAACGCCGCGUGCGGGAUGACGGCCUUCGGGUUGUAAACUGCUUUCGCCUGUGACGAAGCGUGAGUGACGGUAAUGGGUAAAGAAGCACCGGCUAACUACGUG
Molecule: ribosomal RNA, 468 nt
Filed under: uncultured bacterium
Lineage: Bacteria
Description: partial 16S ribosomal RNA
Rfam family: Bacterial small subunit ribosomal RNA
Source: RNAcentral